UCGGCUUAAGGCCCAACUGAGUUUGAUAAUGGCUCCAAUCAAGAUAAAAUAGUGUUAUGUAAUUUGCAUUCACAGAGUGGACAAUGAUAUUCAAUCCCGGUAGAUAUAUUGUUUGCUAAAAGAGUGUACCAGAAAGAUCGGAUAGACUCUCUAAACUUAUACUUUAAAUGUGUAAUUCCCAUGAUUACAAUCUAAAAUUAUCGUAACCUGAUUUUAUAACUAUUCAGUACAAUGUGUAGUUUUUUUGUGGCUCUGACUUGGGAGAUAAGAUUAGAUAAUAGACCCGGAUUAGUACCCGGUUAUUCUAAAUUAAUAAGAUUUCGGGAGUAAAGUAAUAUUUAAACCGGAAUUAUAUUGGGAGCACCCUAAAUUAUCCUUGGAGCUUGAGUAGUAAUCGAGAACCCUCGUUAUCAGCUUGAACUUUAGUCGCAUGUAUGUUCGUCAAAGAUCCUUCUUAACGGUGUGUUCGCAAUAGAUAGUUCUCUAAUAGGACAGAUAAAUACCUGGUUUAUGUUUGAGUGUGUAAUUUGGGCUACAGUGCCGGAGGGCGAUUUAGUUCGGAGUAUCUGGAGAGAUUUGGAUAUGAAGUUGUAAAGGACAGUAAAGUGCUUUUAAUGGGUGCUUGAAGAAUACCUGGGGUGGGUACAAAUCAUCCAUCAAUUGCCCACAGGGGAGUAAGUUGUAGUAAAGUAGGUGUAGGGGAAUCUGUACCUAGUAG
RNAcentral lists this non-coding RNA (718 nucleotides) under Strongyloides vituli. Lineage: Eukaryota; Metazoa; Nematoda; Chromadorea; Rhabditida; Strongyloididae. The record is from RNAcentral.